UACGUAGGUGACAAGCGUUGUCCGGAUUUAUUGGGCGUAAAGCGAGCGCAGGCGGUCUAUUAAGUCUGAUGUGAAAGCCCACGGCUCAACCGUGGAGGGUCAUUGGAAACUGGUAGACUUGAAUGCAGAAGAGGAAAGUGGAAUUCCAUGUGUAGCGGUGAAAUGCGUAGAUAUAUGGAGGAACACCAGUGGCGAAGGCGACUUUCUGGUCUGUAAUUGACGCUGAGGCUCGAAAGCGUGGGGAGCAAACAGG
RNAcentral lists this ribosomal RNA (253 nucleotides) under uncultured bacterium. RNAcentral's name for it is "partial 16S ribosomal RNA". It matches the Rfam family "Bacterial small subunit ribosomal RNA", at positions 524 to 776 of the family's 1533-position model. The record is from RNAcentral.